Molecule: unclassified non-coding RNA, 314 nt
Filed under: Streptomyces scabiei
Lineage: Bacteria; Bacillati; Actinomycetota; Actinomycetes; Kitasatosporales; Streptomycetaceae
Source: RNAcentral
AAGGAGCACUUCUACCGAUCCCUUCGGGGUGAGGUCAGAGGCCAGAUCAUCAGCGAACGUCUGAUGCUGGUUAGCUCAUGGGUGGAACGUUGAUUAUUCGGCGUCUUGAGUCAUCUCAGGCUGUGAGUACUGUCCUUUCGGGGGCGUGGAAAGCUGAUCGGAGUGGUGAGGGAUGCCGGGCACGCUGUUGGGUGUCUGAGGGUAUGGCCGUAUGGCUGCCUUCAGUGCCGGCCCCAGUGCACUCGGACUUCUGGUUCGGGGUGAUGGGUGGUUGGCCGUUGUUUGAGAACUGCACAGUGGACGCGAGCAUCUGU